Molecule: ribosomal RNA, 492 nt
Filed under: uncultured bacterium
Lineage: Bacteria
Description: partial 16S ribosomal RNA
Rfam family: Bacterial small subunit ribosomal RNA
Source: RNAcentral
AGUGAACGCUGGCGGUAGGCCUAACACAUGCAAGUCGAACGGCAGCACAGUAAGAGCUUGCUCUUACGGGUGGCGAGUGGCGGACGGGUGAGGAAUACAUCGGAAUCUACUUUUUCGUGGGGGAUAACGUAGGGAAACUUACGCUAAUACCGCAUACGACCUACGGGUGAAAGCAGGGGAUCUUCGGACCUUGCGCGAUUGAAUGAGCCGAUGUCGGAUUAGCUAGUUGGCGGGGUAAAGGCCCACCAAGGCGACGAUCCGUGGCUGGUCUGAGAGGAUGAUCAGCCACCCUGGAACUGAACCACGGUCCAGACUCCUACGGGAGGCAGCAGUGGGGAAUAUUGGACAAUGGGCGCAAGCCUGAUCCAGCCAUACCGCGUGGGUGAAGAAGGCCUUCGGGUUGUAAAGCCCUUUUGUUGGGAAAGAAAAGCAGCAGGUUAAUACCCAGCUGUUCUGACGGUACCCAAAGAAUAAGCACCGGCUAACUUCGUG